CUAAAACUAAAAUACUACAAGAUUAAAGGAUAGGUUUCUUUUCUGUGUUUACCUACAGGAGAUGGAAGAAGGGAUUAUGAUAUGACACUUACUAGAGAUGAAACCGAUAAAGGAGCUCCAGGUGUUCCACAGAUUACUUUGAGAAGCGUGGGAUCUAUACAUCUUUGAAGAAAAUUCAAUUAAUUCUUUGAGUUCUCCUAUAAGAAAUUGUUCUGCCUGUCGGAGCACUGUGUGUUUGCCUAAUUGAAAUAAGCCCACCCCAAUCCUCUUGCACAUGUAAGGUGGCCCAGGUAAAGUUCAGAGCAUGAGGACAACCUACGUGCCAUUAUACGAGGAGUAUUUUGAAGAACAGAGGUUCACCAUGAUGAUUCUGUAGGGGUGAGGGGUUUGCAAGCUCAUCUAUCCUUUGUUGGAACUCUCCAACAUUGAGAGGUAGAGCUGAAAACCAGGAGCUGUGCUGUCGCCCAGAGCCUUGAUGCACCAAACUUCCUUAGAACACGCCUCCAGGUUGGUGAUGGACUGUUAUGCUUGCAGCACUCACAGAUCUGCCUGAAGGGUUCCCACGCGGAGGAGACAGAGUCAAGGAGGCACUGAUUUGAUGAUCUGGAUUCUCGUCAAAACUCAUGAUGUGAUGGGGGCAAAGGGGACUGAGGAUUUUCAGAUUUUUUUCCCCACAUCCCCGAGUUCACUCUCAUGGUGGCUGCCAGGAAGCCAAAUUACUAUUGAAUUGAUGAUCUGUAGCAAUGUCCCUGCUCUCAGACAGUGGUGAAAACAAUCAGAAAACAGGGAGGCAGCCUGCUGUAGUAGAAGGAACAUGGGUCUUAAACAACCCACAUGCCUUGGCUUGAAUCCAGGCUUUACUUAUCUAUCUAUUUAUUUAUUUAUUUAUUUUAGUUGUGUGAGUUUGGAGAAUUUAUCUAACCUCUUUGAAUCUUUUUUUUUUUUUUAACAAUAUGUAUUUUAUAAUAGUUACUAGAGGACCAGAGAUAACGACUGUAAAGCAUUCAGUUUAGUUUUUGGUUUAUAGAAAAUUUCAGUAAAUAGUGCAGCUUAACGAAUAGCAAGGCUUAACAGUGGAUGCCAGGGCAAGCUGUGGUUAACUAGGUUAACCCAAUUUAGCAUGGUUUCUAUGUGACACCCUUACAAUUUUUUUUUUCCCUUUGAAUAAAUAGUUCUAAGUUUAAAACGA
This is a long non-coding RNA of Mustela lutreola (European mink), 1189 nucleotides long. RefSeq lists it as uncharacterized. NCBI's taxonomy places the organism in Eukaryota, Metazoa, Chordata, Mammalia, Carnivora, Mustelidae. The record is from RefSeq and is a predicted model, not a curated record. The transcript has 7 exons.